CCUCUCCAUCCGUCUGCACAUCCUUCUCGCUGACGGCUUUCUUGUUGAGCAGAUUGCUAAUCUCCAUGAUGUUACCGAUGAUCUCCACGGGGCCAGUCAGGGUCUUCUUCCUCGGGGAGAGGUCGUCCUUCAGCUUCUUCAGACGUUCCCAAGUCCAGGUCGUCUCUAGUGCCGGUCUGAGCAUCCAAAUAUGUGGCAGGAACCCAUCCUUGUUCUUCUGCAGUACUGACGAACCACCAGCCUACACACACCCAGAGAAAGAAAACAUAUACAUACAACGCUGCGAAGCUCAACACGAAAGCACAUUUUUCAGGUGGACCACACAUCACGGACCACUCGGGGCCAAAAACAGCUUUCACGCUCAACAAAAUUUACCGACAAAAUCUUGCUGCAAUUGAACCUUGGUCUGAGAAAACAAGAAAGGACCUAAUAUAGAACCCUGAGGAUCCUCGUGAUGAGACGACGCCUAGUAACACACAAACACUCUGAAUAUAAACAACUUAAAAUCAGGUUAAAAGUGAUUGACAUUUGGAGACGUUUUAAGGAAGUAGUUGGAACUCACCCUGCAAUAGUCGUCUAUAAAGCGCAGCCGCUUCAUUGCCACAUCUCGUACAUGACUUCGUCGAAACAGGAUUUUUCCUUAAUGAGGAAAAAGAGUCAUCAAUAGAGGGAGUUAAAAAUAACACAAGACAGAUACUAUGGUACUGAACACAAGAAAAAAAAUAUAUUGGAAAUCAUACUUUUAAAAAACAGCACAUUGUUUUUCACAAAAAGCAAAUCAACAUCUGCCUGAGCAAUGGACCAGAAACUUUGAUCGCCAAUUAACAAUAUUAUUCUGUCAGCAUGACAAAUUUGAAGAUUUUGCUAGAGUUAAAACUACUAUAAUCCUUUUAUCCCUUCUUAUUUGAGGUUUUUUUUUUUUACUUGAGUGCCCAAAACGCAACAGCAAUAUGAUACAAAACAAAAUAUAUUCAAAUUCAGCUGGCCUUAGGUCAGCUUCCUCUAUUAUCUCAGUCCUAUUGCAUUAUAUGAGAUCCAACAAAAUGGUUUUCUAAUCAGAUUAAACAGGUAAUCCGAGAACUACAGGAUGCUGUUUUUAGGAAGUAUGGAGGUCUACAAGGAUAUAAAGGUGCAACAAUAUAUAUUUAUAUAUUUUUUCGUGAAAAGCAAGGAAUUCUGAGCUCUAAAUCAUUUCAAUCUCGCCAUAUUGUAUUGUGCUGGAUGACAUGGCUUCCUGUGCCCACGAGUCAUCGACUUUAAUGCCACAGAACAGCAUGAGGCAUUUUAUGAUAUUGUUUAUCAAUGUGGGUGUCAAGCCUUAUUAAAUUGGGGGUGCAGCUGGGGAAAGAAGGGAGAGAUAUAGUGUUUUCAUGUGUGUGUGUGUGUGUGUGUGAUACAUUAACUUUCAAGGUUGUAUAUGAGUUUGAACAGCGACAGAUGAGCCAUCCAUCCAUCAGAGAGAGAGGGACGUAAAUAGAAACAGCUAGAGAGACAGAGUGGUCCUAACACUUUACUGAAAAAACUGAUACACCAUUCAAGCUCUAAACAGCACAGUUCAACACCAACCCCAAAUACACUCUUGUUCCCAGUUCUCUUUGUUUCCAUAUUUAUAUUUUGGUCUAGUCUCUGCCUGACCUUUUCAUUGGUGUAUAUGGUCCUGUGUAUAUGGUUCUUUGACAUUCACUUGUAUUAUCACUUCUGAAUAUGAAUUAUCGUACAUGUGUAAUGACAGACAGCUAAACUGACAGACGGAUUUUCUUACCACACUGAAUUUACAACCUUUCUACACUUAUCCACUUUGGCUUUAAUGUUGUAUGAUUGAAUCUUGCUGUUUAACCCAUUGAAAGAACCCUCAAAUAUGUUACAUACACUAUAUUGCAUCAUUCAUCGGAUUGUCAGACAGAGAAGCGUGAUUCAUCACUCCAGAGAACAUGUCUCCACUGCUCUAGAGUCCAGUGGUGGCAUGCUUUACACCACUGCAUCCAAUGCUUUGCAUUGCAUUUGAUGAUGUAAGGCUUUGGUGCAGCUGCUCAGCCAUGAAAACCCAUUCCAUGAAGCUUUCUACGCGCUGUUCUUGAGCUAACCUGAAGGCCACAUUAGGUUUGUAGCUAUUGACUCUGCAGAAAGUUAUCGACUUCUGUGCAGCUGUGCACUUCAGCAUGCGCUGACCCCGCUCUGUGAUUUUACGUGGAGUUUCUUUCACAAAUGUUUGUAGAAGCAGUCUGCAUGCCUAGGUGCUUGAUUGUAUAUACCUGUGGCCAUGGAAGUGACUGGAACACCUGAAUUCAGUGAUUUGAAGGGGUGUCCCAAAACUUUUGGUUGGUUGGUGCUGUACCUGUGCAGUUACAAUGCCAUUUAAUAGAAGAAUUAAAAAAAAUUAAACAUCAGGGAUAAAGAUCAGGACUCAAAGUUUUGGAAUGCAAUGCAUCUGUAUGCUGCAGUUGCUCUGAGUUAUGCGAGAUGCUCGGCUCAGCUAGUUAGAGAUCUAAAAGAUUAGAGGUGCAAUGGUACUGAUAACAACAUUAAAGUGGAGCUGAAGCUUUGGAACCUUUAAGAAGGUGAGAAUAAUGGACUUGCUGCAUCACUGUUUUUAAACGAGAUGAACGUCUUGUGAGUUUAAGGGGUUAAAAUUUUUCAUAGAGCUGAAUGCUGAGACUACAGUCUCCCAACCACAGGGACAAUGUCAAACGGGGACAAAAGAAUGCAGAGUCAGGAAAUGCACUCCAGCCAGAGGAAAAUACUGAUACACAAAAGUAUGUAAUUAUAUAUGGUCAAGUCAAUAAGAUAUUCUGAACUUGAUAGAGAAAGCUAUACCUCAUGGGAAGUAGAAUCUGAAGCUUAAGGUUACAUUAACUCCUAAAACAACACUAUCUAAAACAGACCAGCAGGCCUCUCUGCUAGGGGAUUGCAAGGGUUUCCGAGCUCUGUAUGCAGUCCAAAACUAAACUAACUGACUGGAAAACUAACACCUAACAUGCUUGAUAGGAGUGUAUAUCAUCUUCUGGGACAAUACAAAAAUUCAUUUUCACCAGAACUGCCAAGCACAGAGACCGAACCUCCUUCACUGAUUGAAAGAUAAAGAGACUAUGCCUCUUUCGCUAGGCCUGACAGACAUGAAUGUCAUACCUCCUUUGCUGGAACUGACAGGCACAGACCCCAGAUUUUCUUUACUGCAAUUGCACAAUGGUCAUGUCUCCAUUAUUGGGACUGACAGGCUCACAAACCAUGCACUGAAAGAAAGAAGCCAUGCCUUAUUCUCAUAUUUGACUGAAAUGCACACAGGUCAUGCCUCCUUCACUGGAACUGACAAGCAGAAAGGCCACACCUCAUUUACUGAGACUGACAGGUAGAAAGCUUACUCCUCCUACACUGGGACUGAAAAACAUGGCGACCACACCUCCGUUUCCAGAACUGACAGGCACAGAUGCCACACCGCCUCCAUUCUGACUGAUAGGCACAAAUUUAUUACGGGAACUGACAGAGCUAAAACCUACAGCGUGCAUAAUAGCAUUUUAUCACAUUUUAUUUCAACUGUUCUAUAAAUUCCGUGUGAUUGAAACUGUGGUGUUGAUUCACGUUAAAACUAUAAUACUGCGAUCUUUCCUGGCUUUACAUAUCGGAAAGGUAACGAGCAAUUUAAAUUGCAUUUUUGUGCAUUCAAGUUAUUACUAGAGGGGUAUGCAAAGCUCUACUGCAGACCAUAAUUUGCACUUCUGCAAGACUGAUUAAUAUACAGAAAUUACCAAAGAGAUCAAACAGCUGUCCUGGGAGUGAUUGUGCGUCCUGCUGUAUGUAAAAUCGAUGUGUUCAGAAGUGUGAAGGCUUUUUAGAGCCAGUGUGACUGCAGACAGACAGAAGAAAGGACCGGAGACUAGAAGAUGAGAGGUGCCGAGUCAGCAAGGGUUUGAAAACGCACAUCAUAUUGUCUGUCUCUCUCCAUGCUGCAUUAUUCAUCGCUCUCCUAUGCUUCUCCUAACGAUUCUUUGACACACUGACAGCAUGCGUAUUUGUGUGAGCGUGAGUGUGUGGGUCUUAACAGCCUGGGGAUUAAAAAAGAGAGAAAGUCCAAGCCAACCAUUCAAAUGACGUACCACAGACAGUAUUGCUGGCAGCCUGCAUUUGUCACUGCAUGUAUGAGUGUGGGGGAUGGAGUGAUAAAAUGACAGAAAACAGAAAAAAAAAAGAGCAAAGGAAGUGCCUGGUCUCACCUGGAAGAAAGGGGAUGAUGCGCUUCUUGGGGUCCUUCUGCCCUCCCUCGAUUGGGAACUUGUCGAGAAGCUGCAUCUGGAGAAAAAAAAAAAAAAGGAAGGGACAAACACACGUCAACACAAGAAUCUAAACCGGACAAACUGCUUGUGCAGCCUUAAUCGAUUUCAAGCUUUCAGAAUCUAAGAUUGGUUUGAUUUGUUUUACACUACAGCCAUCUAUAACGUCCGAGCGGCAUGUUGUUAUAGCGAUGAUAUCCGACACUAUAAAUCACUGACAGCUGCAGUACCUCCAUCUGAAGAGAAAGAGCUGUGCCAUCUCCGAACGCAGCCUCGGCUUCGAAUUCGACACGAUUCUGAUUUCUCCUUUUUAUCAUUUCAGGGAUGAGCCACCAGGUCGCGACCUCUCUCCUACUUAGUCACUCGAUGGGUUCCUCUAAGUGCCCAACCAAUUAAUCACAUCCCUCCUAGAGCACACACUAGCCAUUCUGGCCGCUAAUGAGUGUGCAUGUGGGGGUGUGUGCAUGUGCUGAUGUGUUUUCUAAAGCGCUUCUGUGAAAUCAUUCAUAAUGGCUAUUUUAUAAAACAAUAUACCACUGAGCGCAAACUUCUGACACAUAAGGUGCCAUUUCAGCUGUAUUAUAUUCAUCCUCCUGCACAUAAUUGCCCAUUUUGUGCGUCGCAGACAAACUGGGUGCCUCAUUUCUGACAGAAAAUGACGGAGGAAGAUAAACAAACUAGUGGGCCUAGGAUGACAAAAACGGCUUUCGUGGAGCCGCUCAAAAGAAUUUUUUUGGUUUUUUUUGCUUCAAGGACGGUCAAAUAAAGGUUUUGUUCUCGGAGUUAGAAUCCAGGUAAAUGCUCGUGAACUCAUAACUGUGGUCCUCAAGGUCCAAUUACGAUACAAUAUCCUAAAUAAGAUUUAAAGAUACACUGCACUCACAUUCCUGUGUGAAAUAUACAAAUGAAAAGAACAGAUGAUGGACUCUUGAGGCAUUAACCCACUGACCUGCAUCCCUGCUCCAGGUUUCCUGCUCAGCUUUAUAGCCUUGUGACAUUUUCAUUCCUAAAGGUACUAAAAUGACAACUAAAACUGCUGAACUAGUUCGAUGAGGACUUAAACGAAAAUAAUGAAUUGAUCCUUUAUUAAAUCCUGAUUGAUCCUGAUAUUAAAUCAAGGAUAAGGGUGUUCUAUGGCGUGAAACACAUUGGAUGCACAUUGGUUUUUUCAAUGUAAUUG
Molecule: long non-coding RNA, 5445 nt
Organism: Hemibagrus wyckioides
Lineage: Eukaryota; Metazoa; Chordata; Actinopteri; Siluriformes; Bagridae
Exons: 4
Source: RefSeq, a predicted model, not a curated record